This 292-nucleotide ribosomal RNA is filed under the name uncultured bacterium. Its description in RNAcentral is "partial 16S ribosomal RNA". It matches the Rfam family "Bacterial small subunit ribosomal RNA", at positions 505 to 796 of the family's 1533-position model. The record is from RNAcentral.
GUGUCAGCAGCCGCGGUAAUACGGAGGUUCCUAGCGUUGUUCGGAAUUACUGGGCGUAAAGGGAGCGCAGGCGGAUUGAUAAGUCUAAAGUGGAAUCCCGGGGCUCAACCUCGGACGUGCUUUGGAUACUGUCAGUCUUGAGUUCGUGAGAGGAAAGCGGAAUUCAGGGUGUAGCGGUGAAAUGCUUAGAUAUCCUGAGGAACACCAGUGGCGAAAGCGGCUUUCUGGCACGAAACUGACGCUGAGGCUCGAAAGCGUGGGUAGCGAACGGGAUUAGAUACCCCAGUAGUCC